CUUGGCGACCAUAGCGUUUUGGACCCACCUGAUUCCAUUCCGAACUCAGAAGUGAAACGAAACAGCGUCGA
Molecule: ribosomal RNA, 71 nt
Filed under: Vibrio fluvialis
Lineage: Bacteria; Pseudomonadati; Pseudomonadota; Gammaproteobacteria; Vibrionales; Vibrionaceae
Source: RNAcentral